Molecule: ribosomal RNA, 467 nt
Filed under: uncultured bacterium
Lineage: Bacteria
Description: partial 16S ribosomal RNA
Rfam family: Bacterial small subunit ribosomal RNA
Source: RNAcentral
GACGAACGCUGGCGGCGUGCUUAACACAUGCAAGUCGAGCGGAAAGACCCUGCUUUUGUGGGGUGCUCGAGUGGCGAACGGGUGAGUAACACGUGAGUAACCUGCCCUUGACUUUGGGAUAACUUCAGGAAACUGGGGCUAAUACCGGAUAGGAGCUCCUGCUGCAUGGUGGGGGUUGGAAAGUUUCGGCGGUUGGGGAUGGACUCGCGGCUUAUCAGCUUGUUGGUGGGGUAGUGGCUUACCAAGGCUUUGACGGGUAGCCGGCCUGAGAGGGUGACCGGCCACAUUGGGACUGAGAUACGGCCCAGACUCCUACGGGAGGCAGCAGGGGGGAAUAUGGCACAAUGGGCGGAAGCCUGAUGCAGCAACGCCGCGUGCGGGAGGACGGCCUUCGGGUGGUAAACCGCUUUCGCCUGUGACGAAGCGUGAGUGACGGUAAUGGGUAAAGAAGCACCGGCGAACUACGU